CAGUCGCCGCGGGAAUACGUAGGUCCCGAGCGUUGUCCGGAUUUAUUGGGCGUAAAGCGAGCGCAGGCGGUUAGAUAAGUCUGGAGUUAAAGGCUGUGGCUUAACCAUAGUACGCUUUGGAAACUGUUUAACUUGAGUGCAAGAGGGGAGAGUGGAAUUCCAUGUGUAGCGGUGAAAUGCGUAGAUAUAUGGAGGAACACCGGUGGCGAAAGCGGCUCUCUGGCUUGUAACUGACGCUGAGGCUCGAAAGCGUGGGGAGCAAACAGGAUUAGAUACCCCAGUAGUCCCUGUCUCUUAUACA
RNAcentral lists this ribosomal RNA (301 nucleotides) under uncultured bacterium. RNAcentral's name for it is "partial 16S ribosomal RNA". It matches the Rfam family "Bacterial small subunit ribosomal RNA", at positions 509 to 808 of the family's 1533-position model. The record is from RNAcentral.